GAUGAACGCUGGCGGCGUGCCUAAUACAUGCAAGUCGAACGCUUUGUGGUUCAACUGAUUUGAAGAGCUUGCUCAGAUAUGACGAUGGACAUUGCAAAGAGUGGCGAACGGGUGAGUAACACGUGGGAAACCUACCUCUUAGCAGGGGAUAACAUUUGGAAACAGAUGCUAAUACCGUAUAACAAUGACAACCGCAUGGUUGUUAUUUAAAAGAUGGUUCUGCUAUCACUAAGAGAUGGUCCCGCGGUGCAUUAGCUAGUUGGUAAGGUAAUGGCUUACCAAGGCGAUGAUGCAUAGCCGAGUUGAGAGACUGAUCGGCCACAAUGGGACUGAGACACGGCCCAUACUCCUACGGGAGGCAGCAGUAGGGAAUCUUCCACAAUGGGCGAAAGCCUGAUGGAGCAACGCCGCGUGUGUGAUGAAGGGUUUCGGCUCGUAAAACACUGUUGUAAGAGAAGAAUGACAUUGAGAGUAACUGUUCAAUGUGUGACGGUAUCUUACCAGAAAGGAACGGCUAAAUACGUGCCAGCAGCCGCGGUAAUACGUAUGUUCCAAGCGUUAUCCGGAUUUAUUGGGCGUAAAGCGAGCGCAGACGGUUAUUUAAGUCUGAAGUGAAAGCCCUCAGCUCAACUGAGGAAUUGCUUUGGAAACUGGAUGACUUGAGUGCAGUAGAGGAAAGUGGAACUCCAUGUGUAGCGGUGAAAUGCGUAGAUAUAUGGAAGAACACCAGUGGCGAAGGCGGCUUUCUGGACUGUAACUGACGUUGAGGCUCGAAAGUGUGGGUAGCAAACAGGAUUAGAUACCCUGGUAGUCCACACCGUAAACGAUGAGUGCUAGGUGUUUGAGGGUUUCCGCCCUUAAGUGCCGCAGCUAACGCAUUAAGCACUCCGCCUGGGGAGUACGACCGCAAGGUUGAAACUCAAAGGAAUUGACGGGGACCCGCACAAGCGGUGGAGCAUGUGGUUUAAUUCGAAGCAACGCGAAGAACCUUACCAGGUCUUGACAUCCCUUGACAACUCCAGAGAUGGAGCGUUCCCUUCGGGGACAAGGUGACAGGUGGUGCAUGGUUGUCGUCAGCUCGUGUCGUGAGAUGUUGGGUUAAGUCCCGCAACGAGCGCAACCCUUAUUACUAGUUGCCAGCAUUCAGUUGGGCACUCUAGUGAGACUGCCGGUGACAAACCGGAGGAAGGUGGGGAUGACGUCAAAUCAUCAUGCCCCUUAUGACCUGGGCUACACACGUGCUACAAUGGCGUAUACAACGAGUUGCCAACCCGCGAGGGUGAGCUAAUCUCUUAAAGUACGUCUCAGUUCGGAUUGUAGGCUGCAACUCGCCUACAUGAAGUCGGAAUCGCUAGUAAUCGCGGAUCAGCACGCCGCGGUGAAUACGUUCCCGGGUCUUGUACACACCGCC
This 1411-nucleotide ribosomal RNA is filed under the name uncultured bacterium. RNAcentral's name for it is "bacterial SSU rRNA". It matches the Rfam family "Bacterial small subunit ribosomal RNA", at positions 28 to 1394 of the family's 1533-position model. The record is from RNAcentral.